RNAcentral lists this ribosomal RNA (441 nucleotides) under uncultured bacterium. RNAcentral's name for it is "partial 16S ribosomal RNA". It matches the Rfam family "Bacterial small subunit ribosomal RNA", at positions 338 to 795 of the family's 1533-position model. The record is from RNAcentral.
CCUACGGGAGGCAGCAGUGGGGAAUAUUGCACACUGGGCGAAAGCCUGAUGCAGCAACGCCGCGUGAAGGAAGACGGUUUUCGGAUUGUACACUUCUGUUCUUAGUGAAGAAAACUGACGGUAACUAAGGAGCAAGCCACGGCUAACUACGUGCCAGCAGCCGCGGUAAUACGUAGGUGGCAAGCGUUGUCCGGAAUUACUGGGUGUAAAGGGAGCGUAGGCGGGAAGCCAAGUCAGCUGUGAAAACUACGGGCGUAACCUGUAGACUGCAGUUGAAACUGGCUUUCGUGAGUGAAGUAGAGGUUGGCGGAAUUCCGAGUGUAGCGGUGAAAUGCGUAGAUAUUCGGAGGAACACCGGUGGCGAAGGCGGCCAACUGGGCUUUAACUGACGCUGAGGCUCGAAAGUGUGGGGAGCAAACAGGAUUAGAUACCCCUGUAGUC